CCUACGGGCGGCAGCAGUGGGGAAUAUUGGACAAUGGGGGGAACCCUGAUCCAGCCAUGCCGCGUGUGUGAAGAAGGCCCUCGGGUUGUAAAGCACUUUCAGUGAGGAAGAACGCCUGGUGGUUAAUACCCAUCAGGAAAGACAUCACUCACAGAAGAAGCACCGGCUAACUCCGUGCCAGCAGCCGCGGUAAUACGGAGGGUGCGAGCGUUAAUCGGAAUUACUGGGCGUAAAGCGCGCGUAGGUGGCUUGAUAAGCCGGUUGUGAAAGCCCCGGGCUCAACCUGGGAACGGCAUCCGGAACUGUCAAGCUAGAGUGCAGGAGAGGAAGGUAGAAUUCCCGGUGUAGCGGUGAAAUGCGUAGAGAUCGGGAGGAAUACCAGUGGCGAAGGCGGCCUUCUGGACUGACACUGACACUGAGGUGCGAAAGCGUGGGUAGCAAACAAGAUUAGAUACCCGUGUAGUC
Molecule: ribosomal RNA, 465 nt
Filed under: Vreelandella stevensii
Lineage: Bacteria; Pseudomonadati; Pseudomonadota; Gammaproteobacteria; Oceanospirillales; Halomonadaceae
Description: partial 16S ribosomal RNA
Rfam family: Bacterial small subunit ribosomal RNA
Source: RNAcentral